GGUUCAUGGCUCAGUGGUAGAGUGCUUGCCUGGCACCUGCAAGAAACUGGGUUAGAUUCUCAGCACCG
RNAcentral lists this transfer RNA (68 nucleotides) under Marmota monax (woodchuck). Its description in RNAcentral is "tRNA.Ala". The record is from RNAcentral. Lineage: Eukaryota; Metazoa; Chordata; Mammalia; Rodentia; Sciuridae.